This is a transfer RNA of Loxodonta africana (African savanna elephant), 71 nucleotides long. It matches the Rfam family "tRNA". From Rfam's summary of the family: Transfer RNA (tRNA) molecules are approximately 80 nucleotides in length. Their secondary structure includes four short double-helical elements and three loops (D, anti-codon, and T loops). Further hydrogen bonds mediate the characteristic L-shaped molecular structure. tRNAs have two regions of fundamental functional importance: the anti-codon, which is responsible for specific mRNA codon recognition, and the 3' end, to which the tRNAs corresponding amino acid is attached (by aminoacyl-tRNA synthetases). tRNAs cope with the degeneracy of the genetic code in two manners: having more than one tRNA (with a specific anti-codon) for a particular amino acid; and 'wobble' base-pairing, i.e. permitting non-standard base-pairing at the 3rd anti-codon position. The record is from Rfam. NCBI's taxonomy places the organism in Eukaryota, Metazoa, Chordata, Mammalia, Proboscidea, Elephantidae.
ACGUUGGUGAUUCAGUGGUAGAAUUCUUGCCUUCUGUGUGGGAGACCCCAGUUCAGUUCCUGGCCAAUGCA